UGAGUAGGGGAAAGAUUGUGAUUGAUGCGGUCCUGUCAAAUCCAAGUAUUCUAGUAGCGCAAAAGCAAAACUAUACAUGGCUUGGGCUUCCCUUUUCUGAAGAAAAUCCGCCGAGCCGCUUAUCAGCUGAAGAAGGCAUUGAUUUACGUACAAAAAUAAGGAGGAUUGCCAGAGAGGAUGCCGCUACUCACUGGGCCAGGG
This 201-nucleotide unclassified non-coding RNA is filed under the name Hevea brasiliensis (rubber tree). The record is from RNAcentral. Lineage: Eukaryota; Viridiplantae; Streptophyta; Magnoliopsida; Malpighiales; Euphorbiaceae.